Molecule: long non-coding RNA, 2357 nt
Filed under: Carica papaya (papaya)
Lineage: Eukaryota; Viridiplantae; Streptophyta; Magnoliopsida; Brassicales; Caricaceae
Description: long non-coding RNA (CPAP_LNC003507)
Source: RNAcentral
UUAUAUUAUAUUAUAUUAUUUAAUUUCUCUCUUUGCCUAUUCGGUCUUGGGAGGUUUCCUUUUCCAAACCUUCAUUUCACCUACUCAAGAAUCAAGGUAGAUAUACUUACUCUCCCAAUCUCGCACGUCUCUGCAGAUUCUAAUCAAUUCCGGGACGAGCAAAAACAAAGGGUGAAAGAUUCGUUUUGAUUCGCGCACCAUAUUCUCAUCGCUGGUAGUGUUUCCGCAUCUUCGUGCUCAAACGCCCUAAAUUUUAUUAUUUCAGUGUUUGCAUGCUUGGUUAGUGAUUUUUCAGGUUUUAUUCUGCAAGAGAGUCAAAAAGCUAAUACUAGCUUUAAUCGGUUUGCUCAUAUGGUUUCUUAAUUUGCUUCCCCUGUUUCUUUCUUUUCUCCAGUGCUUUUCUCAAUUUUUUGGGGUCCAUUCUCAUAUUCACCCUAAUGCUUUUACUUCCAAUAAGCAAAUGAUAACAUGUUGGAUAUUAAGGCUGAAAUGCUCGGUUCUGUUUUCGUUGAGUAUAUAUAAGAUAUUCUACAACUAUAUACAUUCUCAUGUUUCUAAUAAAUGUAAGCCUUGUUAAUGUGAAUUCAAGCCAAAUCUAUUACAUGAUGUUAUUUUGCUACAUUAUGGUUUGAAGAGCAAGUGAAUUGGAUUUGUUUUUUUAGAAUUUCCUUUAACUUUGUUCUAUAAUUAAGGACUAUGAUGUAUUUGGCUAGCCUUGACCUGUGUUGAAUGUUUAUCCCUCUGUUUUGAUGCUUUGUUAAUUGGCCUUAUUUUUUCUUGGUGGGCAUGGUUGAACUCCCUCGAUUUGAAAAUCUAAUACAAUCAUAACAAGAGACAUGUUUCUUGUUAUAGUUUUGUAGGAUUUCCAAUCCUUUUAUGCUUGGAAAUCUUACUGAUAAUUUGUCGUGAGGCGUAGCCAAGGUUCUAAUUGUUAAUAUAUUCCCAUAUAAUAUUUUUUAGCUACUGCUUAGAAUAUCCCUUUUCUGGUUUUUGCUUCCAAUAUUGGAUUAAUUGUCUGUCUAGCCUUUGUAUUAGUUGUCCUGUUCUCAAUACCAAUUGGGGUAGUGGAGAGAAUAGAGGGAUGCAUGAGGAGGUUUCAUUGGGUAUGGGAUGCCGAGGUCCAUAUGGGUAACUUAGUCAAUUGGGGAGAUCUUAUAUCAGUCCAGAGGUGAUGGAGAGUUGGGUUUAAGGAAUCUAUGAUCCAAAAGUAUAUUUCUGUUAGCUAAGUGGCUUUGGUGUUUUCCUUUUGAACCUAGCUCUUAUGCACAGAGUGAUCAGCAGCAGCAGCCAUAGGGGCUGCAGGAACGAAUUGGAUGUUGUAGUAGGAUGAAUUGGAUGGAGAGUCAUCUGCCAAUCUCAUUCACUAUACUUUCCUUUGACCUGUUUGAAAGUGGGAGAUCCAAAGUGUUCUUUUGGGAAGACACCUGGAUUCAAGACCAUUCCUUGCCUUGCCAGCUGCCAUGACUUUGUCUAUUAUCAUCUUUCCAUAAUGCUCCGAUUUUUGCUUUUGCACACCAAACUGAUGGCAUAGUAGCUGGGAACUUUCAUUUUACUCAAAACCUUUCUAAUAGGGAGACUUAUGGAAUGCUAAAUCUUCUUAACUUGUUGGAUCAUUUUCGACCAAAUUCUCAAGUGGAUACCAUAAUAUGGGUUUUAGAGACCUUGGCAUUAUACACGUGCAAAUCCUUUUUUGACUGUCAAUUUGGAAUCCAAUCAUCUACCAACUUCCUCUUGCAUCUAAGGAUAUAGACAAACUAUAAUUGACUGGAAAACUAUAACCGAACUGAACUGACGAAGCAUAUAGACGAACUAAAACUGAACCAAUUUGGUUAAUAAUAGAAUAAUUGAAAAUAAAUUAAUAAAAUCUAAUGUUUUUCAAAUUUUAUAAGAAUGUUAAUUAAACAUAUAUAUUUGUAUAUCAGAUCAAUAGAUGCAUAUAUUAUUAUCAUUAUUAAUUUAAUACAUUUUUGUUAAUUUAAAAAAAGUAAAAAAAACUUGGUUUUUCAAUUGGUUCGGUUUCCAAAAUUAAGAACCGAAACCAAACCAAGCAAAAGGUCAGUUUUUCGGUUUUUAACCGAUUUAACUGAAAAAACCGACAAAUUGAUCAAAUCUCACUACUCCUUUCGGGUCUUUCAUUCUUUUCAGUUUCCACUGGUUUUUGAUCACCUCUAUUCGAGCCUUGUCAGCUGGCAUCUACAUUCCAUGCUGGAAAGGAGGAGAUACACAUUCCGAUAUUGUUCCUACAUCAUAAUAUGGCUUGGGGAUUGUGGAAAACAUUGUUUGGGUUGUUUAGAAUAGACUGGGUCACGGAGUGUUUGAUGAGUACUUGUAUUUGUAGGGGCACAUCUGCAAGGAGG